RNAcentral lists this transfer RNA (76 nucleotides) under Carollia castanea. RNAcentral's name for it is "tRNA-Leu". It matches the Rfam family "tRNA". From Rfam's summary of the family: Transfer RNA (tRNA) molecules are approximately 80 nucleotides in length. Their secondary structure includes four short double-helical elements and three loops (D, anti-codon, and T loops). The record is from RNAcentral. Lineage: Eukaryota; Metazoa; Chordata; Mammalia; Chiroptera; Phyllostomidae.
GUUAAAGAGGCAGAGACCGGUAAUUGCGUAAAACUUAAACCUUUACCCCCCAGAGGUUCAAAUCCUCUCUUUAACA